UCACCAUUGAGACACAACGUACUUCAACCUUACCAGACCCUCUUUAGUUUCUCUUCCACUAUUCAGAUAGAUUCUCCCUUUUCGUCAAUCUCUUCAUUCCUCUUUUAUUUUAUUUUUUUCUUUCUACACCGAGUGUCGUCGAGCACGCCAAGCAGGAGUUGGAGCAACCUAAUUUGAAGCCAUACUUCCACCAUCGCUCAACCUUGCCAGGAGAAAAUUCCACCUUCGAGCCGUUCGUUGGAGCUUCUGAACCAAAAAUUCUCAGCUUUGCUUUCCUCGCCAUGUAAGCAGUCAAGAAAGGGAAUAAAGCAUUAUUUGCUCACUGAUUCAUAUUUCAGUACAUCGGCAGCCCAAUCUCUUGUUGCUCAGAAAAUAAAUGAAGAAGGCACGUUGGUCAAUUGGAAGGAACAAUUCAGAACCAUUGGAUGAAAAAGAAGAUGGACGGCUAUUGAUAGGAAGAUUUUUGUUUUAGUUAACUUUUGUGGAUUGUAAAAAAUAGGGAUAUACUUUUUCCGUAAGAGAAUUUUUUUGAGAUCAAGAUUUUCUUCAAUGUUCGUUACUGUUUUUAGAAGACUUUGUGUGUGUUGAGAGUUUGCUGUUUUAGAAGACUUUGUGUGUGUUCUUCACUUCUUGAGCUCUUCAAGAUUCAUAAUUUCAAGCAUUGACAACGCUAAGGAAGAAAGGAUCGAGGAAGUGCAUGCAAGUGAAGAUUCAAGAUCCUAGCUCUAGUUUAGGAAUCGGUACCUUGAUUUGAACGAUUACUU
This is a long non-coding RNA of Gastrolobium bilobum, 764 nucleotides long. RefSeq lists it as uncharacterized. Lineage: Eukaryota; Viridiplantae; Streptophyta; Magnoliopsida; Fabales; Fabaceae. The record is from RefSeq and is a predicted model, not a curated record. The transcript has 3 exons.